GAUGCUAAUACCGCAUAACAACUUGGACCGCAUGGUCCGAGUUUGAAAGAUGGCUUCGGCUAUCACUUUUGGAUGGUCCCGCGGCGUAUUAGCUAGAUGGUGAGGUAACGGCUCACCAUGGCAAUGAUACGUAGCCGACCUGAGAGGGUAAUCGGCCACAUUGGGACUGAGACACGGCCCAAACUCCUACGGGAGGCAGCAGUAGGGAAUCUUCCACAAUGGACGAAAGUCUGAUGGAGCAACGCCGCGUGAGUGAAGAAGGGUUUCGGCUCGUAAAACUCUGUUGUUAAAGAAGAACAUAUCUGAGAGUAACUGUUCAGGUAUUGACGGUAUUUAACCAGAAAGCCACGGCUAACUACGUGCCAGCAGCCGCGGUAAUACGUAGGUGGCAAGCGUUGUCCGGAUUUAUUGGGCGUAAAGCGAGCGCAGGCGGUUUUUU
Molecule: ribosomal RNA, 439 nt
Filed under: Lactiplantibacillus plantarum
Lineage: Bacteria; Bacillati; Bacillota; Bacilli; Lactobacillales; Lactobacillaceae
Description: bacterial SSU rRNA
Rfam family: Bacterial small subunit ribosomal RNA
Source: RNAcentral